Molecule: ribosomal RNA, 497 nt
Filed under: uncultured bacterium
Lineage: Bacteria
Description: partial 16S ribosomal RNA
Rfam family: Bacterial small subunit ribosomal RNA
Source: RNAcentral
GACGAACGCUGGCGGCGUGCCUAAUACAUGCCAGUUGAGCGAUGAAGAUUGGUGCUUGCACCAAUUUGAAGAGCAGCGAACGGGUGAGUAACGCGUGGGGAAUCUGCCUUUGAGCGGGGGACAACAUUUGGAAACGAAUGCUAAUACCGCAUAACAACUUUAAACAUAAGUUUUAAGUUUGAAAGAUGCAAUUGCAUCACUCAAAGAUGAUCCCGCGUUGUAUUAGCUAGUUGGUGAGGUAAAGGCUCACCAAGGCGAUGAUACAUAGCCGACCUGAGAGGGUGAUCGGCCACAUUGGGACUGAGACACGGCCCAAACUCCUACGGGAGGCAGCAGUAGGGAAUCUUCGGCAAUGGACGAAAGUCUGACCGAGCAACGCCGCGUGAGUGAAGAAGGGUUUCGGAUCGUAAAACUCUGUUGGUAGAGAAGAACGUUGGUGAGAGUGGAAAGCUCAUCAAGUGACGGUAACUACCCAGAAAGGGACGGCUAACUACGUG